AGCUCCUGGCUGGUACUGGCUUACACCUCUUGGCUGCUGUUGGCUUGCAGCUCUUGGCUGCUGCUGGCUUGCAGCUCUUGGCUGGUGCCGGCUUGGGUGGGUGCGCUGGUGCCGGCUUCCAGGCCUUGGCUGGUGCCGGCUUGGGUGGUUGCAGUCCUGCCGGCUUCCUGCCCAUGGCUUGUGCCGGGUUCCAGGCCAAGCUGGUGCCGUCUUGGGUGGGUGUGCUGGUGCCGGCUACCAGGCCUGGGCCGGUGCUGGAUUCCAGCCCUUGGCUGGUGCCAGCUUGGGUACGUGCACUUCCGCCGGCUUCCAGGCCGUGGCUGGUGCCGGCUUCCAGCCCUUGGCUGGUGCAGGUUUCCAGCCAUUGGCUGGUGCCAGCUUCCAUCCCUUGGCUGGUGCUGGCUUGUGUGGGUGCGCUUGUGCCGGCUUCCACGCCUUGCCUGGUGCCAGCUUGGGUGGGUGCGCUGGUGCGGGCUUGGCCGGGUGCGCUGGUGCCAGCUUCCAGGCCUCGGCUGGUGCCGGCUUGGGUGGGUGCGCUGGUGUCGUCUUGGUUGGGUUCUCUGGUGCCGGCUUCCAGGCCUUGGCUGGUGCCGGCUUCCAUCCCUUGGGUGGUGCUGGCUUCGGUGGGCGCGCUGCUGCCAGCUUCCCGGACUUGGCUGGUCCGGCCUGGGUGGGUGCGAUUGUGCUGGCUUCCAGGCCUUGCCUGGUGCUGGCUUGGGUGGGCGCGCUCGUGCCGGCUUCCAGCUCUUGGCUGGUGCCAGCUUCAGUGAGUGGGCUGGUACUGACUUGCAAACCUUGGCUGCUGCCGGAUUCCAGCCAUUGGCUGGUGCCACCUUCCAUCCCUUGGCUUGUGCAGGCUUGGGUGGGUGCGCUGCUGCCGGCUUCCAGGCCGUGGCUGGUGCUGACUUGGACGGGUGCACUCCUCCUGGCUUCCAGCCUGUGGCUUGUGCCGGCUUCCAGCCUGUGGCUUGUGCCGGCUUGGAUGGGUGCGCUGGUGCCGGCUUGGAUGGGUGCGCUGGAGCUGGCUUGGGUGGGUGCAGUCCUGCUGGCUUUCAGCCCAUGCCUUCUGCCGGCUUCCAGGCCAAGCUGUUGCCGGCUUGGGUGGGUCUGCUGGUGCCAGCUUCCAGGCCUUGGCUAGUGCUGGCUUCAAGCCCUUGGCUGAUGCUGGCUUGUGUGGGUGCGCUGGUGCCACCUUCCAGGACUUGGCUGGUGCCGGCUUCCAGGCCGUGGCUGGUGCCGGCUUCCAGCCCUUGGCUGGUGCCAGCUUGGUUGGGUGCAUUGGUUCCGGCUUCCAGGACUUGGCUGGUGCCGGCUUCCAGGCCUUGGCUGGUUCCGGCUUCCACAGCUUGGCUGUUGCCGGCUUCGAGGCCUUGCCUGGUGCCGGCUUCCAGACAUCGGUUGGUUCCGGCUUCCAGGCCUUGGCUGCUGCCGGCUUGGUUGAGUGCGCUGGUACCGGCUUCCAGCUCUUGGCUGGUGCCGGCUUGGGUGAGUGCGCUGCUGCCGGCUUCCUGCUCUUUGCUGAUGCCGGCUUCCAGCUCUUUGCUGGUGCCGUCUUGGGUGAGUGUACUGGUCCCGAUUUCCAGCUCUUGGUUGGUGCCUGCCUGGGUGAGUGCGCUGGUGCCGGCUUGGGUGAGUGCACUGUUGCUUAUUCUAUCACCUUCCCAGGAACCCGUGAUGUUAAGCGUUAUGUGCUCACCAUGGUGGAGGCAACCACUGGGUGGCUCGAAACAUAUGCAGUACCCCAUGCUACCUCCCAAAACACUGUAUGAGGUCUGGAGAAACAAGUCCUGUGGUGACACGGCACUCCAGAAAGAACUGAGUCAGACAAUGGGACUCAUUUCAAAAAUUCUCUUGGAAGUACUUGGGCCAAAGAUCAUGGCUUUGAGUGGAUUUAUCAUAUCCCCUAGCAUGCACCAGCUUCUGGUAAAAUCGAACGAUACAAUGGGUUGUUACAAACUAGGUUGA
Molecule: long non-coding RNA, 1965 nt
Organism: Numida meleagris (helmeted guineafowl)
Lineage: Eukaryota; Metazoa; Chordata; Aves; Galliformes; Numididae
Source: Ensembl